This is a long non-coding RNA of Passer domesticus (house sparrow), 4650 nucleotides long. RefSeq lists it as uncharacterized. Lineage: Eukaryota; Metazoa; Chordata; Aves; Passeriformes; Passeridae. The record is from RefSeq and is a predicted model, not a curated record. The transcript is spliced from 4 exons.
UGGGGUUAGGCAGCCACUCCUUUCUGCUGCACCUCCCUUAUUCCUUCUCCCCUCAUCUUGUUCUUUCUGCCCUUCCAAGGACCAGGAGUGGUCCCACAGACGUGUCCCUAGUGAUGAUCCCUUUCCAGAUGUUUCCUCCUGCUUGCUCCUGGCAGCUGCUCUUCCCCAAGCACACGUGGGCCUGGCAGUGGGGGCUGCUUACUGACACCCUCCAUGGGACACCCCACAGCCUCACUCAGACCUCCUAACUUACAAACCAAACCUCACUGACAACAAAACUCCAGAAGCCAGGUUGUUGUGAUUUCAGAAAUCACACUGUGAGCCCUUCUUUUGAACCAGCAAAAUAAGGAAAGGAAACGGCGAGAGGCCAAAACACGCAUUGCCCAGGCAUCUCCGAAAGCUGCAGCAGCUGGGCUGCUAACACACACAGCUGACAUCAGCCAGGCUGGCUUUUUGCAAGCAACUCAUUCUGUUUUUUCCAGACAAAAUCAGUUUUAUCUUCAAAAUCCAGUUAUCCAGAUCACUGUCCUGACUGGAUUUCCUACCUGGGACAGGCACCAGAGGGCUAGAUGUGGGGAAACCAAGAAAAUUUCUGCAUACGACUAUCAAGGUGCAGGACUUCACACUUCCUUCUCCUGAAGAUCAUGAGGCUCCUGUUGGCCCAUUCAUCCAGUUUGCUGCGGUCCCUCUGAGAGGCAGUCCCUACUCUCCUGUGUCAAAUUAUCCCCAAGGUAUGGAGUCAUCCUGUUUUCCAGCUUCAGACACCAUUCAGAAGGUCAUGGAACACUAACUGACAAGUGAGCAAACAAAGUUAAUUCACCUACAAACAUCCUGAUGAUAUAGUCACUCCCAUCACCCAGAUCUCUGAUAAAGACUGGCCCCACUGUCCACCCUGAAAAACACAAUUCCUGAUUAGCCACCAGUUAGACGGACAUCGAAGCUGCAGCCAUGAUCCUCUCAGACUGGUGGUCCCACCUUUCAACCACUGUGCAGGUCAUCCAUUCAAUCCAUACCUUCCCAGCUAGCCACAAGAAUGCUACCAGCCUAUGCUGAAAGCCUUGCUGAAGUCAGUUAAAUGAAAUCUGCUGCUGUCAUUCACAGAGGCAGCUGUUUUGUUAUAGAAGACAAGAAUCAAGUCAGUUAAACUUGGUUUACCUGUGGUAUACCCAAGGUGGAUGUUCCCUGUUACUUUACUGCAUUUUGUGCAUUUGGCUUACCACAGCCUACCAAACAUGACAGAAAACAGCUUCUCAAAGACAUAGUCUGGCUCCCUCAGAUCUCUGAUACAUUCCACCCAGCUCCAUGGAUUUGUGGAGAGCACUGCUUAGACUCAAUCCCUUCAAAUGAUAUCACCAAGCCCUACAGUCAUCUUUAAUCUGCUGAAGUAUUAUUAUCACAAUCUGAGAGAGUAGCAAAGUCUGAUGCUUGGCCAGGUCUUAGCAACCUUUGUGAUCCAGUCCUUCAGGAAGCAGCAAACUUUGGAAGGCAAGUCUGGUCAGUACAUGGAUGUCUCCACUUCCUAUACCAGGGAGUCUUCAAUACCAGUUACCCAUUGCUUCCUCUUAGUGGCACUGGCUAAGAGUAGUUGAUCAGGCACGCCUGGUCUAAACACCUCUCUUGCCAGAACUCACUCCUCCUUUAUUGUUUCCAGGUCCAUAUGUUUUAUUAAAUCUACAUUAUUACUAUUAUUAUUAUUAGCUUCAUAUAUUUGUGUUACUGAGCACAACACCAAGUAUGGGUAUAUUUUUCCAUUAACUUACCUGAAAGGAACUGCUCAAGGCUGGAAACACAACUUCCUAACACUGAUGCCUAAGACUUAGGCUUCUCAAAGUGAAAAUGUAUGAUAUAAGCAGCAUAAAGCCAGCUGCUUAUGAACAUAGCAAAAAAAGAAAGCAAGAUACUCCUUAAAUUGAAAGAAAAAGAAGGAAAAAAUCUAUACACACAUUAAACUAAAAAUACAUACACAGAAUGCCCCACAGUACCAGAGAUGUCAAUUACUUGUCCAUAUCGUGAUGCAUAUGGUUAAUAUUGAGUGUGUGCACAAACCUUUACUGCCAGACUUCACAGAUCUCGCUGCGGUCAGGAGCACAGCCAAAGCCAUAAAUGUAACACCCGAUUUUCAGGGGAGAUGGGAAUGUGGAAAAGAGUUUGGGAAAUUCUCCUAUGAGGAUGCCUUUGAACUGCUCCAGAUAACCAGAGAACAUUUCCUAUAGCCUCCAGGCAUUAGGAUGUGGCACAAGGGCAUUCCUUCAUCUCCAGGUCAACCAAGCGAGGCCAAGGCUGCUAAGCCCAUCCCUUUCCUUCAGACAUACAUGGGAGGAAACUCCCCCUUCUGCCACUGGACUACACAAGAGAGGGGAGGGAAAGAGAAGAAAGGAAAAAAAACUACAGUAUUCUGUCCACCAUUUUAGAGAGAGAAAAGGGAUUCCUCAGCUGCUUUUCCUAUCUGACAUCUAAAUGGAAAAGGCAAGAGAUCAGGCUGUUUCCUUACUGCAUUAGAUGGGAGAGGAAGCAGGAUAGGAAGAAAGCAGGAAGCAGCCAACAAAAGGAAGCGAUCAGAUGCCCUCUGCCAGCUUCCAUUUCACUUGACUAGCACUCUGACUAGACAAAAGCUGAAAAAGAUGCAUUUUAUAGCCACUCUACAAAAGAAUAAUCAGGGUCCAGAGAGACCAAGCAGCUCUUCCAAGAUCAAGUCAGCAGUCCAUGCCAGACCUCUGAACCAAAUCCAAGUGUCUAGUCCAGUCCUUAACGACAAACAUAUCCCUGGGCCCAUUAAUGGCACUUGAAAAAGGACAACACAAUUAAAUACUUUCUCAUUAGUAAAUAAAAAAGUCAAAAAAUGGCAGCCAAUGUUGUGUGAUUACCAAGAGGGUUUCUCACAAUUAAACUGGACACUGCUGUUUGAAUCGCUAGACCCUGCAGAAACUACUUCAUUCAGCUUGAGGAUGCAAGAAGAGACAGAAUUUUCAAAGCUUUUGCAUCAAACCUGAUGAAGUCUUUUUACCUGACUCCCAGGGCCCCAUCAAAGAUUCUGUGGUUGCCCGGUUGUUAAAAUCCAGGAGGAUGACCAAGGGAACAUAUUGGCAUGUAAACAGCAUCUUGGACAGAAUGCAAGAGCACAGUGUCAUGAGAGAGAGAGACUGGAAAACCCUGUCUGUGGCAACUUCUGACAAAGCUAGUUUCCAAAAAUGCUUCUAUCAAGGGCCAAAAGCACUGCUGGAAAGCAUCUUCCUGGAGGAGUCAAUCUUUCCUGGACUACCCAGUGCAUUUCUCAUCUACUGAAGUGAAUUUCAAGGUGCUUACCUUCUGCCUAGGGAUCAUGUGGGAAUCAAACACUGCUAUGCCAGCCCAUGUGCCCUAGCUUGCCAAGCACAGUUCAAACAUCAAACUCCAUCAUGGACUGAGACAGUAGUGCAAGCAAGGAGACAGAAAAAGAGCAAGCAAGAAAGAGAACUGGAUUUUCCCACUUGAUGUUAGGAUGCUAAUUUUGCACAGGUGAAGCUGAAGAUUCUGGUCUCCAACACAUAGUACCUUUACACUACAGAAAGCAACCUCUGGACUAGAGCAAAAUUCAGGCAGGAAAUCCUACCACUUCUUCCUUCUAGGAGAACACCCUUGAGCUCACGAAGCACUUGCAGAGUUGAAGAAAGGCAUCCAGCAGCACCUCUGAGGGGGUCAUCUCAACCCAGGCAGAAAACUGUUUCAGAUACUACAAAAUUUUUGUGUUUCACGUUCUGAAUGGACCCUGAGAGUCCCCGCUCAGGAGCCUCCCCACGUGCUGGAUGACUGUACAGAACUUGACGAAUUCGUCUUUUUCCCGACCAAAGCACCCAACACUUUUCACAAAAUAAAAGCUCUUACAAACCAAAGGUUUGCACCUUUGGGCACUGAGAAAUGCCUAUCAAGCCAGGAACCAGAAGGGAGAGUUUCUGCUGCAAAAGCCCUUUGCCUUGCUGACUGCAGAACGCACACAACUGAGGGUUUAAAGUCCUGGCACCGGCCUGGUAAACUUCCAGGAUGGGCCAUACUGAUUUCUAAGGUCUUUCUCAAGAUGAAGUAUUUCUUUGUGUGUGUUUGCUGUGAGAAUCAAACAUCUGAGUUAGGAACUAAGCAGCUAUAUAUGGAAAUGUAUCAGGAUUUUGAUGUGUAACAAUGUUGGGACAGAGUGCAACAGAGCCAACACAGAAUUAACAAAUUAAUUUUAAUCACAGCCUGUAUCUAGGGAUUCAAAGUAAGCUCUGAAUUAAAUUUAUUUGAGUAAUUUGACAGAAAAUGUAAAAUAUGAGAUGCCCAUUUACCCAGAAGAUCACUCAAACAUUCCCCAGAUACUUCUGAAAAUGGACCUUUUCCAUUAUAAAGUCAAAUUUUAAGAAAUAUAGCACACGACGAAUGAGCACAGUCCUUGACUCAUCACCACAACACUAGCAGGCUUGCAUUUUUCUGGCUCUGACAGAGUAACUGUCCAUGAAUGGGGAUAAAACUUUUGAUAAGAACCCCUUCUGACACUAAAAAGGCACAUUCACUUGGUUUUCUUGCUAGAAACAUUUCACUGUUUUCCGGAACACCAACUGCACUCACCUGCCUAACCCAUGAAUUAUUCUUGGCUACUCACAGCAAGCCUACGGGUCAAAAGUCUUACACAUCCCCCUA